CUGCAGGGUGUGUGUGAAUGUGUGUGCAUGUGUGUGUUAGUUUACAUAACAUUUUCCCUACAAUGUCAGGACAUUUUCUAAGUGAGGACUUUUUUUUUUGGCCCUCACUUUUUUUAGAAGCUUACUAUACUAGUUAGAGGUAUGGUGUGAAUUAUGUUUUAGUUUAGGUUAGGGUUAGUCAUAGGUCAGCAUUGGUUAGGGUUAGGAUCCAGCAGACGAGCUCACAUCACUCCAGUUUUACAGUCCCUCCGCUGGCUCCCGGUAGAAUAUAGAAUUCAGUUUAAAGUUUUAGUCCUGACCUAUAGAGCUCUUAACAACCAGGCUCCAAGCUACCUAUCUGAGCUUUUAUCCCCACACACCACCUCUCUGAACCUUAGAUCCACAUCUGAAAACCUCCUGGCUGUUCCUCGAACCAGACUGAAAACCAAAGGGGACAGGGCCUUUCAGACUAUUGCACCCAGACUUUGGAACAGUCUACCUUCAAAUCUCCGUCUCUCCAACACUGUAGAGGUCUUUAAAAAUCAUCCAAAAACUCACCUUUUCAUCCAGGCGUUCCCUCCCUAAAUGUUUCAAAAAGAUGGUUUUGUUUGGGUUCACACCUUCACUUUGUUUAUACUCAUGAUUUUAUUUUCUACUUUAUCACUGCUAUUGUUUUUCUGAUGUUUUUAUUGGUUAGAGGUAUUUGUCCUGAUCUUUAUCAUUUUGUACAGCGCUUUGUGAUUUAUAUCUGUGAAAGGCGCUCUAUAAAUAAACACUUACUUACUUACUUACUUACUUACUUACUUACUUAGGCACAGUGGAAUCACAAAAAUGAAUGGAAGUCAAUGGAGGGUCCUCACUGUUAUAGAAAAACAGACGUGUGUGUGUGUGUGUGUGUACUCGUCUAUACAUCAAAGUGAGGACCAAUGACAAGCUUUACAUGCAAACUAAGGACAUUAGUAGCGAAGUGAGGACAUUUAGUUAAAGUCCAUCUUCAUAAACAUGUUUUUAUUUGGUGAAAAAAUAAAGUUGAUCACACUUCAGUGCUGAAUAACUCAGAUGUUAUAGUUUGUCUUUACUUGUGGAAAAAGGCUGCUUCAACAAAAAUUAAGAACAUUUCUGUCACUUGAUGUUGUGACGCAGGAGGGGCAAGACAGCAGGGACUAUCACUCACCACAGCGUUAGCACAAAGUUCUCAAAAGUAUAAAUGGUAAAAGUUUAUUUAUGUGGAGGUUAUUCCAACCCUGGCUGUCUGGACAUGAGUUCAUCGAUUUCUAUUUCGAGCGUGGGUGAGGUUUGUUCAAGUUGGACGGCAAGAUUUCACCACAAGGAGUGUAUCUUCUAGCUCUGUAGUGUGUGGCGAGCAUUUUUGCGAGGACUAUAAUGAAAGUGACUUGAGUGAGCAGAAGAUGGGUUUCAAAAGCAAGGAUAAGGUCGGGCUGAAGCCCACCGCAUUAUCAUCAGUACACAGCAGAGGCAGUCGACAGCGGGAGACACAACAAGGAGGUGAGAUGGCGUCCACAACAAUGGCUACUCCAGGGUAGAGCCGCAGCAGAUUCAAGACUCCACGAGGAACUGCUGCUUGGAAACUUGAAGUUUGUUUGGUAAUUAUGACUUUUACAUCUACACAUCUGAGAUUUUGUAGUAACAUAGAAGUGUGAUUUUCCAAUGAGUUUAAUUUGAAAUCUCUCUGUUUAUUACUGUUUACUCAGAAGAGAAGCUCAUUAGCAUCUGGGUGAGCAGCUAAGGGCUAAUGUUUGUGUAGCUGUAGCCUGUAGGACAUGGCUGGUGAAUAGGGUUGUCACGGUAUGAAAAUUUAACCUCACGGUUAUUGUGACCAAAAUUAUGACGGUUUUCGGUAUUAUCGCGGUAUUUUUUAAGCGGUGUUGCAUAUGUUCAGAAAGCAUUGAUAGUCCUGUUCUACACAAACUGAAAUAGUUCUGAAAAGGUUUAACAGUGUUUAUUAAACCUAAAAUAACACAAAGCCUUAGCAAAAGUGCAACUUUUCACAAGUAAAGGAACAAAUAGCUUCUCUUUCUGGAACAUGUUACAGUAGUCAGUGCAGGUUUAAAUGAUACAAAUCCAAACAUUCGAAACAUAAACAAUAUGUAAACAAAUCAAAGAAACACCACUUGUUUUCUCAUAUACUUGUUUUCUUCAUUAUCAAAAUGAAAAUCUAAAACUCCAGUCCACACUUGACUUGAGCGCUGUACAAGUCAACCUUAAAAAAAUAUGUAUUUAAAACAAACAGCCACUUUAAACAAAUUACUAAAAUAACUACUACACUAUGUAAUCAAAUCCAAAUGUUCAAGUAUAAAUGGCAUUGAAUAAGUAAACAAAUCAAUGACAAGGAACUAAUUGUAUAUUUCUCUUCAUCAUCAACAAAUAAGAUGCUUCAUCCAGCAACAGGGUGUCCGUGACACGGUUUAAAUGCUGCCAGAGGACGCUGCGGCUGCAGUAUAUAGUGACUCGUUGCAUUCUCCCUCAACCAAAAGUCCUCGCGUCAUGCAUUUAAGCUAAAAUGCUAAUGUUAACUUACCUUGCACUGGCUGUAGAGACGUGGGUGAUGGUCACGCAGAUGUGCCUUUAGAUUCGAAGUGUUGCUGCCUUUUGCAGACACUUGUUUCCUGCAUGUUCUGCAAACGGGAUAGCAGUCUUCUAUUAACUGUCCCUCAGCAUUUUUCAGAAAUCCAAAAUAUGCCCAUACUUCCGAUUUAGUCUUCUUUGAGGGCUGAUGGAUGUCCUGGGCGCUGCCGUCUCCUCCUUCGGCCGUUAUUUCAGCUUCAAAGUUUUGGUGCCGUUGCAAACUAAAAAGUGCGUGUGCGCGCCGCGGGAACUUCAGCUGAAGCGACGGUGGCUGGUAAGGGUCAUCGCGCCGAAACCGCGGCCACGGUAAACCCACCGAGAUAAUAUAGUUUUUUAAAAACUGGACGGUUAUUUUUAUUGUCAACUUUUUUACCGGGGUUUACCGCUAUACCGGUUACCGUGACAACCCUACUGGUGAAUAAAGACAACAGGUUAGCGCCCAAAAGGGAAAUAAAACAGAGGACACAGUGAAUGGCAUCUUUGACAAUGGUCCUUGUCAGACAAGUGACCUGCAUGUCAACCACACCCCCUUAGCGCCAUUGGUUAAUGCAACUCCAGCCUACAUUUAACUUCAUGUGAUGACAGCAUGGCAGCCCUUCACAACAGGAGUGUACCAUUUUCUGCAGUUUAAGAAGCUCACAACAACACAAAGUGAACAGUGCUUCCAUUGUUUAUACACCUAGCUAUCCCAUCAUGCAACAUGCUACAGCACCUGAUACGUCACCUGACAAGGACCGAUAAGGCCUGGUAAGCUGGUCCUACACAUGUAAAUGUGCAUACAGAGCUAGGUCUUUUUCUGUUGCUAUAGUUGGUCUUUUUUUCUCAGCUAGAAACAUUAUAAACUGUUAUAUAAUGUUCGCUGACAUGUUCAGAUUUUGAAAAUAACUCUUCCAUAUACAUUUGUACUUGUGUUUUAUAGAUAAUGGCAGAUGUAACGUCACAAGUGGAAGCAGAGCUCAUUCCUGAUGCUGCUGAAGCUCAUGAGGAUGUGACAGAACAGAGUCUGUCUGCAGAUGACCCCAGCUGACCUCGGUGAACUGUGCAACUAGAGGCAACUCAUUAGUCUCCGAUCAUCAGGUCUGUCCAAGAAACUUGACACAGUCAUCUGAGAGCGGCAUUGGGAUGAUGUGGCUCUGUGGACGCAGUCCAUAGUGAACUAUCUGUACUGGGCCGCUGCUUCCACGCCUGAUGGCAACGAUGACAUGUUGGAGGCGAAAUGGAAAUGAAUCAUGUUCAGGACAUCCAUGAACAUGAGACACCUGAAUUUCCCAUUUGUCUCCAUCCUCCACUGGAAGCAGGAACAAGCAGUGUCUGGUUCCAGGAUCAACUUCAGCAGUCAAGUUGGAGAAGGCAACAUUUCAGCUAGGAUGUGAGGCAGCUGUACCCUCAGCACCAAACACACUCACUAGAGGUGUUCCACUCCCUCAUCCUGACAUUUACUCUUAAGCAUACAGGUUCUCAUACCUUGGCAUGAACACCAGGCAAGUUUUAUUCAGCUAGAAUUUCAUUUUGUUAUAUAUUACUCAAAGGGGUUAUAUUGCAAGUUGUCAGGGACUGAGCAGUAAAACUCCAGGACAAUGGUUUAAAAAGAAUAUCUUCUCCAUUUAUUUCAAAAAUAAUUAACCAAAAUCAAAACAAAAAUGGGCCCAAAGGAAAAAAUGGCAACAAAAAUAACCUUAACUAAAAGUAACAAGCAAGACUGUCUCUAAAACUGAGACACACCGGGGAAUUUAUACACACAGGCUAGCCUACAGACAACGAGGAGGGGAGAGACGGGGAAACACUAAGACAAACAGUAAAUAAACCUAGGAAACUAAGUCAACAAAAUAUAACUACCACAAAAGUUUUACUAAUACAUCCUAACAAAAUCUGGUAAACUCAAUUAGAGCUUCAGAACAUCUGGUUUCUAGUUUCUUCAGUAUCAAGUCCCCUGCUUCCAGCAGCCAGAUGGAAUGUUCCACUUCCUGCCUGGAGUUACACUGGGCGUGUCCUCUCUCUCUCUGCUAGUUCAUCCAAUCUCAGCAGAACAAAUGAAAAUAGUUAAUGAUCAAAUAAACUAUGUAUAAGAUAAAUUACUAAAUGUGUGCACCCAUUAGUAAACAUCUUACAAUAUUGCAACAAAAUGAAAUAAUAAACCAGCGUGUGGAAAAAAAUAUUUAAAUACUAACACUGAGAAAUGGCUGGAGGAACCUCCACACAAGUCAUUAUUUAAUCAAUUAAAACAUAUUUGUAUUCUGCAGUUUCAAACUGUUUCUAAAACUGUUAAAUAUUUCAGACUGUUGCUAUCAGCCAUUCAUUACAACAGCAACAGGUACAGGAACUGGCCAGAACCAAGGAGGGUAUGUUGUGUGUUACCCUCAUUUUAAGGAAGGUGGCUGGUCCGUGCACCCUGUCAAAGUGGAACCAACAUAUGGUAAAUGCAUUUCUUAAUAUGUGUGUGGAUGCAUACUUUUACAUGCAUGUUCAUCAUAUUGAAAUGACUACAAUAACAGAUUAUGCCACAGCACUUCUCAGCCGGGUGCGGGACGCCUACGCCAACCACCCAACAGGACUAAACAGAGCAACAUCUGGAAUCAAAUCAGCUGAUCCUGAACCAGUGACAGCCAUGUAUGACCGAGUGGGCCAGAAUGACGCCAUUGCACAGCAUGUCAGAAAGUCACGGUUUUCAGCACAAGUACAUUUCUGUAGCUUUUAUUGACACUGGGUAGAUUUUUCGGUAGUCACCUUUUUGUGUGGAAUAAUAUUUAAUAAUCAUUAAAAACCAAGCAACAAGUUCUUUCACAAUUUUAAUACAUUUUUAUAAGUUCAUGCAAACAUUGAUUUACAUUUUUUUACAGACACCACACUAGUUCAGAUCAGGCCAGUGGAAGCCUCUGUACUGGUCAUCUUCACCUGGAAAGGCUGCUCUGAUGGCGUUCACCACACAUGAUGGUGGAGGCUUGUGGAUGAGUCGCCCAAUGAUGUCAUGUGCCCAUCGGAUCAUCUGCCUGUAGGCUACAUAGAGAUACCGCCUGCUAUGUAAACAUUAUAAAAAGAUGAUCUCCUCACCUGAAAAGCUUACUUUUCAAAAUUAUUUCUGUUACUUUUAUAUAUUCUGUUCCAUAUAUAUUUAUACAUUUAUUGUGUACUAUAUUAUACUAUGCUGUUUAUGUAUGUAUUUCACUAAUGUUGUGUCUCACCCCUACCUUUGAUAGUAAAAGUUCAGAGGUGCUGGAGCUUUACUCCUUUAAUUGAUGUAUUAUUGUAGACCAGGUUUGUAAGAAUGUGUGAUUGUGAAAACAAAGCAUGAUAUUAAAAUGUUUUAAAACUUCAAAACAAAAAUGGAAGAAUUACUAGUGAAGUAAUAUUGCUAGUUAUCCUUGACACUAAAUUUAUCGUUUGAGACAUUAAAUCUGUUCUACGAAUACCAAA
Long non-coding RNA from Nothobranchius furzeri (turquoise killifish), 5976 nucleotides. RefSeq lists it as uncharacterized. NCBI's taxonomy places the organism in Eukaryota, Metazoa, Chordata, Actinopteri, Cyprinodontiformes, Nothobranchiidae. The record is from RefSeq and is a predicted model, not a curated record.